UUUUUAUCAGUUUCAGUGUAAAUUAUAAAAG
Molecule: regulatory RNA element, 31 nt
Organism: Pan troglodytes (chimpanzee)
Lineage: Eukaryota; Metazoa; Chordata; Mammalia; Primates; Hominidae
Rfam family: Iron response element II
About the family: IRE, TFRC, SLC40A1, SDHB, SLC11A2, CDC42BPA, ACO2, ALAS2_H.SAPIENS, CDC14A, EPAS1, ALAS2, qoxD, Hao1, NDUFS1, transferrin, Aconitate.
Source: Rfam